AACCCGAGGCCCGGCCUGGGGCGCGGCUGCUGGGCGCUAGGCCCGCGACGCUGAGGUGCGCGCGCCCCGGGCGGGAGGAGGGGCUGCACCGCCUGGCGAAUGGGAGGGGGACUGGCAGGCUCUCCCUUCCCAAGGGAGGUCGUCCUGUCGCCCUAGACUAAACCCAGGAAGGCUUUUAAAAGAAGCAGAGUCUCCGCGGGGGGAAGCUUGUUCCCUGAGAGGUGGCCGCAGACGAACCCACUGCUCAGUCUGGCAUCCCGAAGCCGCUCCGCUCCUGGCUCUCCCCGCUGUUCCUGCGCGCAGCGGGGGCAGUGCCCCCACACCCACGCGUGAUGGGAAGGCCGGCCUGGGGGUGGGAAGGCCCACCGAAAUAGAUGGUCCCCACACCUCACUGCUUCCUUGGAUGUGGCUAUUUUUUAUGCCAGUGUUCUCCUGCUCUGACCCUACUUGAACUUGACCGCAACCGGCCCCGCCUUGCAGGCCACCCUCCCGCAGCAGAAAACUGUGCGGAGCUCGCGCUGUCCUCGCCUCCGCUGACCCCACCUCCAUGUCCUCACAGACACUAUUUUUUCACAACACAGCUCAGAUCCCACCUUCUUCAUGAGGUUAUUCAACAAACACUAUUAAACUUGUAAGAUGUACCAGAUCCUGAGUUGGAGGCUGAGAGGAGGACAAGAAAACUGCUCCCGUAGCCUAGAGGGAGGGAGAGUCGCUUAAACCACCUGAUGCAGAAUGCUGAGUGCGGAGACCAGGAGGUGGGUGCAUCACAGAGGGUCAUAAAGGACAUGAGCUGCGCAGUACAGGAGGUGGAAGGAGGGGGUCACACGAACAGAUGUCACCCGAGGCAAGUCCCCAACUCUUUCCCAGCUUUCAAAGCCUAAUUUGAUUAAUAUAGAGCAUGCACCACCUGACUAUACCUGUCAGAGCCAGAACUUACAAGUAAGACAGAAACAAUGCCUAUGGCCUUCAGUCAUGCUAAGGCACCUAUCUGACAAGCCUGCCAAACGCCAUUGAACUCUAGUAGUUUUACUAUUUACAAUGAGGACAUUUUACAACUCUUUUUAAUGGAAAAGUUAACUUGUAGAAAACUAAGCUGAAAGCUUAUUGUGUGUUAGCAAGACAAAUGUUUUUCCAGUGGGGAUAGAAGUGAUCUCGUCCUGUAAAAAUGCAAAUGGGCCAGGCAGGGUGGCUCAUGCCUAUCAUCCCAGCAGUCUGGGAAGCUGAGGUGUGAGAAUUGCUUGAGCCCAGGAGUUCACCAACCCCAACCUGGGCAACACAGCAAGAACCUGUCUCCAUUAAAACGUGUGUGUGUGUGUGUGUGUGUGUGUGUAUAAGACAAAUGACCCCUGCUUAAGGUGAGAAUCAUAACCAGCUUCCUAUCUGAUUGAGCCACUUCAUUCCCAGCGUUUCCUUUCUCUUUUCUCCCCGCUUUUGACUGUGUGUGUAGGUCACUUGCCUGCAUUCUCCUUUGAAGCACCUUUGUCAUCCCACUGUUUCCAUCAUUAAUGGGUUAAAAUGGAACUUUGACUUGUGUCCACGAUGUAUUCGUGUGCAAAUUGUGGUUCUGUUGCAUUGUGAGCAACCUACUAGUGUCUGACAUAACCUCCCUUCUGCAUCUCUCUCUGCCUGGAAGAUUGUUUUGCUGAGCUCGACUUCCUGUAAUUUGUGCAAGUUUUUUUCCAAGAAUAAAAUUAGAACUGUGACUCUGCUUUCACCUCAGUCUGAUACCUCUCCUGUGUGCUCUCUGUUUGGUCCUGAAUGAUGUGGUGGUUGCUUGGCAUGGUUGGAGGAUGGGGUGUAGGCUAACCAGCCAGGCUGUUUCCUUGAGCACAAAUUAUAAGGGCAUCAGAUACCACUGAAAAAGUUACAAGAUAAAGCUGCAUUCACUAGAACAACUGUUAAAGUUGGACUUGGGGUUAGAAGAAAGUUCUUGAUGAGUUGUUUGGGGCAGGACUGGACAUGUCCUGGUCUGCUCAGCUGCCCCUGAGGAGUAAGGACCCAGAGCCUGGAGCAUGUGUGUUGCCAAAGGAAACAAAUAAGAGAGAGACUGGGCUUGACCUGUAGCUUCCCUGCAAAACUGUGGAG
RNAcentral lists this long non-coding RNA (2085 nucleotides) under Homo sapiens (human). RNAcentral describes it as "non-protein coding lnc-LANCL2-1:2". The record is from RNAcentral. Lineage: Eukaryota; Metazoa; Chordata; Mammalia; Primates; Hominidae.